Non-coding RNA from Chelonoidis abingdonii (Abingdon island giant tortoise), 131 nucleotides. The record is from RefSeq and is a predicted model, not a curated record. Lineage: Eukaryota; Metazoa; Chordata; Testudines; Testudinidae.
AAAUUCCACUGUCGGAUAAGUGUUUCUUGAUUGGGCACUUACUUAGAAUAGUCCCUUCUCAAGAAACUGACCAAAUGCUUCACUGAGGCUACUUAAAAUCAAAACACAUUGAUACACAAGUACAUAGCCGA